CCCUUGGAUGUUCUGGGCUGCACGCGCGCUACACUGAAGCUAUCAACACGUUUUCCCUCCCUGAGAAGGGCGGGUAACCUUUUGAAUCAGCUUCGUGGUAGGGAUCGGGGCUUGCAAUUGUUCCCCGUGAACCAGGAAUUCCUAGUAGACGCGAGUCAUAAGCUCGCAUCGAUUAAGUCCCUGCCCUUUGUACACACCGCCCGUCGCUACUACCGAUUGAACGUUUUAGUGAGGCAUUUGGACCGACGCAUCUCAGUUUAACCGCUGGUUUGUGUUGGAAAGACUUCCAAACUUGAGCGUUUAGAGGAAGUAAAAGUCGUAACA
Molecule: ribosomal RNA, 324 nt
Filed under: uncultured eukaryote
Lineage: Eukaryota
Description: partial 18S ribosomal RNA
Rfam family: Eukaryotic small subunit ribosomal RNA
Source: RNAcentral